GAUGAACGCUAGCGGCAGGCCUAACACAUGCAAGUCGAGGGGCCGCACAUAAAGUGGUUUACUACUUUUGGUGGCGACCGGCGGACGGGUGCGUAACGCGUAUGCAACCUGCCUCCAACAGGGGGAUAACGGAGAGAAAUUUCCACUAAUACCCCAUAAUAUCAGAAUCGGCAUCGGUUUUGGUUGAAAACUCCGGUGGUUGGAGAUGGGCAUGCGUUGUAUUAGAUAGUUGGUGAGGUAACGGCUCACCAAGUCAACGAUACAUAGGGGGACUGAGAGGUUAGCCCCCCACACUGGUACUGAGACACGGACCAGACUCCUACGGGAGGCAGCAGUGAGGAAUAUUGGUCAAUGGGGGCAACCCUGAACCAGCCAUGCCGCGUGCAGGAAGACGGCUCUAUGAGUUGUAAACUGCUUUUACAAGGGGAUAAAUCGGUGUACGUGUACACCGUUGAAGGUACCUUGGGAAUAAGGAUCGGCUACUCCGUGCCAGCAGCCGCCGUAA
Molecule: ribosomal RNA, 505 nt
Filed under: uncultured bacterium
Lineage: Bacteria
Description: partial 16S ribosomal RNA
Rfam family: Bacterial small subunit ribosomal RNA
Source: RNAcentral